This 488-nucleotide ribosomal RNA is filed under the name uncultured bacterium. RNAcentral describes it as "partial 16S ribosomal RNA". It matches the Rfam family "Bacterial small subunit ribosomal RNA", at positions 28 to 507 of the family's 1533-position model. The record is from RNAcentral.
GAUGAACGCUAGCGGCAGGCUUAACACAUGCAAGUCGAGGGGCAGCAUAAUGGAUAGCAAUAUCUAUGGUGGCGACCGGCGCACGGGUGCGUAACGCGUAUGCAACCUACCUUUAACAGGGGGAUAACACUGAGAAAUUGGUACUAAUACCCCAUAAUAUCAUAGAAGGCAUCUUUUAUGGUUGAAAAUUCCGAUGGUUAGAGAUGGGCAUGCGUUGUAUUAGCUAGUUGGUGGGGUAACGGCUCACCAAGGCGACGAUACAUAGGGGGACUGAGAGGUUAACCCCCCACACUGGUACUGAGACACGGACCAGACUCCUACGGGAGGCAGCAGUGAGGAAUAUUGAUCAAUGGACGCAAGUCUGAACCAGCCAUGCCGCGUGCAGGAUGACGGCUCUAUGAGUUGUAAACUGCUUUUGUACGAGGGUAAACGCAGAUACGUGUAUCUGUCUGAAAGUAUCGUACGAAUAAGGAUCGGCUAACUCCGUG